AUACGAAAGGUGCAAGCGUUGUUCGGAUUUACUGGGCGUAAAGAGAGUGUAGGUUGUUUAUUAAGUCGGAUGUGAAAUCCCGGGGCUCAACCUCGGAACUGCAUUCGAUACUGAUAGGUUAGAGUUUGGGAGGGGUAAGCGGAAUUCCGUGUGUAGCAGUGAAAUGCGUAGAUAUACGGAGGAACACCUGAGGCGAAGGCGGCUUACUGGACCAAUACUGACACUGAGACUCGAAAGCGUGGGUAGCAAACAGGAUUAGAAACCCCUGUAGUCC
This 274-nucleotide ribosomal RNA is filed under the name uncultured bacterium. Its description in RNAcentral is "partial 16S ribosomal RNA". It matches the Rfam family "Bacterial small subunit ribosomal RNA", at positions 523 to 796 of the family's 1533-position model. The record is from RNAcentral.